This 261-nucleotide unclassified non-coding RNA is filed under the name rhizosphere metagenome. RNAcentral's name for it is "partial ribosomal RNA internal transcribed spacer region". The record is from RNAcentral.
GUAGGUGAACCUGCGGAAGGAUCAUUAACCUUUCAAAACAGGGUGCGUCGCGGCCCCCGAGGUGCGGAAACAAGCCUCGAGCGGUUUGGGGUCCUCCCCUUCACGCGCGCACGACUGCCAUCCUUACUUUACGAGCACCUUCUGUUCUCCCUCGGCGGGGCAACCUGCCGUUGGAACCGAAUAAACUCUUUUUGCAUCUAGCAUUACCUGUUCCGAAACAAACAAUCGUUACAACUUUCAACAAUGGAUCUCUUGGCUCUG